Molecule: long non-coding RNA, 1081 nt
Filed under: Sorghum bicolor (sorghum)
Lineage: Eukaryota; Viridiplantae; Streptophyta; Magnoliopsida; Poales; Poaceae
Description: long non-coding RNA (SBIC_LNC003187)
Source: RNAcentral
AAUAUUUCCUUGUUUUAAUUUACUGCACUUUAUAAACAUGAAAACAAAAUAAAAAGAGUGUGUAGAUAAGUGUGCUUUAUUUAUCUGCUAAGUUUAAUCUCUAAAAAAACAAAAAGACCAAAAAGAUGCAUGAUGGAAAUAAUGAACAGUUGCUCUGUUUGCUUACUUUUAAGUACCUAGCUUUUAUAUUAGAGUUCUUCCAGGAAUUAUUAAAACUAAAAUUACUAUCUUUGGGAAGCAUAAAACUAAAACGAAAGGCAUGAUAUAAAGUUGAGCUACUGUUUAUCUUGUUUCUACUACACUAAGUUCUGGAGAUUUAUUUUGAAAACUUACAAAUCACAUGAUGAGUUCCUAGCAUAACAAAACUACCUACCACAGCCAUAUUUGCUAUAACAUCUUUUACUAUAUUUACAUUGAGUUUGAUCGAGUUGUGUAGACCCUUAGGAGCUUUUCAUGUGGUUAAAUUUAGAUAUUCACUUGCACACAUCUACCACAACAUUCAUCACCAAUCAUUAAAAUUGCUAAAAAUAUUAUCACUCACUGUCCCAAGUAUUGUUAUACUCUCUAUCUAAAAAGAUUCAAUGCGGAAGAGGCAUGGGUUAUGCAAAAAUAUGCGAGGAAAUAAAAAGGGACAAGUGCCCGGAACCUCGAAAAAGAAAGAAAAAGAGUGAGACGAGAGGUAAAAAUGGACAAGUGUCCAGAGUAGAAUUAGGGGUACAAAGAUGCCCACUUGAGCGGAAAAAAUGGACAAGUGUCUGACAGUAGAAUUAGGGAUAUCUACUACUAUACCCACCUGAAAAAAAAGAGAAAAAGAUAGACCAUGUUCUCCCAAAGCAAAGAUCAAAGAAGAGGAGAGAUAGCAAUAUGAGGAGCAAUAAGAAGUAAGCUUUAUCAUUACCAUCACUAUCAUUUACUCCACCACACAUGCACAUCUUGAUUUAAUUAUAUGCUGAGUUCCUUUGGAUCCAUGGCUCGAUUAGACAACAUAUGUAUGAGCUAUUUUUCACUCCUAUGAGCUCCGCUUAAAUAUUCCAUUAGCUAUAGGUAAGUGACAUUAUGGUAAGGAUCCACAAAUACCACA